GGCUGUAAGUGGCAGAUAAUCAAAGAGGUCAGUGAAAUAUUUCCAGACAUUGGCAUUUCCAUAUUUUCUUAAGCAUUCAUCAUAAAACCCAUACACUUGAGUACGACUCUCAUGAUUUCCUCUUAGAAUUGUAAUCCUAUCUCUAUAUCGAACUUUCAGAGCUACUAAAAGAGUCACAGUUUCCACUGAGUAAUAUCCUCGAUCGACAUAGUCGCC
RNAcentral lists this unclassified non-coding RNA (216 nucleotides) under Hevea brasiliensis (rubber tree). Lineage: Eukaryota; Viridiplantae; Streptophyta; Magnoliopsida; Malpighiales; Euphorbiaceae. The record is from RNAcentral.